GUGAGGGAGGCUGCGAAAUCCGUUUCUAGUCGUCUCUGAUUCCGCGGAGCAGAUACCAUGAGCAAAGCUCACACUCCCGAGUUGAAAAAAUUUAUGGACAAGAAGUUGUCAUCGAAAUUAAAUGGUGGCAGACAUAUCCAAGGAAUAUUACGGGGAUCUGAUCCCUUUAUGAAUCUUGUGAUAGAUGAAUGUGUGGAGAUGGCAACUAGUGGGCAACAGAACAAUAUCGGAACGGUGGUAAUACGAGGAAAUAGUAUCAUCAUGUUAGAAGCCUUGGAACGAGUAUAAAUAAUGGCUGUUGAGCAGAGAAAUCCAUGUCCCCUCCGCAAAGGGCCUGUUUUACUAUGAUGUCAAAAUCAGGUCAUGUACAUUUUCAUAUUAAAUUUUUUGUUAAAUAAACUUUUGUAAUA
This is a non-coding RNA of Microcebus murinus (gray mouse lemur), 410 nucleotides long. The record is from RefSeq and is a predicted model, not a curated record. NCBI's taxonomy places the organism in Eukaryota, Metazoa, Chordata, Mammalia, Primates, Cheirogaleidae.